AACGAACGCUGGCGGCAUGCCUAACACAUGCAAGUCGAACGAGACCUUCGGGUCUAGUUGCGCACGGGUGCGUAACGCGUCGGAACCUUCCCUUAGGUUCGGAAUAACUCCCCGAAAUGGGUGCUAAUACCGGAUAAUUUCUUCUGACCAAAGAUUUAUCCCCUUAGUAUGGGCCCGCGUUGGAUUAGCUAGUUGGUAGGGUAAAAGCCUACCACGGCUUCGCUCCAUAGCUGGUCAGAGAGGAUGAGCAGCCACACUGGGACUGAGACACGGCCCAGAAUCCUACGGGAGGGAGGAGUGGGGAAUAUUGGAAAAUGGGGGAAAGGAAGAACGAGCAAGGCCGCGUGAGUGAUGAAGGUGUUAGGGUUGUAAAGCACUUUUAUCCGGGAUGAUAAUGACAGUACCGGGAGAAUAAGCACCGGCUAACUCCGUG
Molecule: ribosomal RNA, 433 nt
Filed under: uncultured bacterium
Lineage: Bacteria
Description: partial 16S ribosomal RNA
Rfam family: Bacterial small subunit ribosomal RNA
Source: RNAcentral